UACAGAGGCCUCAAGCGUUGUUCGGAAUUACUGGGCGUAAAGGGUGCGCAGGCCGCGCGGGCAGUCAAAUGUGUAAUCCAGGGGCUCAACCCCUGAACUGCGCUUGAUACUUCCGCGCUCGAGCUUUGGAGAGGAGUCUGGAAUUCUCGGUGUAGCAGUGAAAUGCGUGGAUAUCGAGAAGAACACUUAGGGCGAAGGCAAGACUCUGGACAAAUGCUGACGCUCAUGCACGAAGGCUAGGGUAGCGAACGGG
This 253-nucleotide ribosomal RNA is filed under the name uncultured bacterium. RNAcentral's name for it is "partial 16S ribosomal RNA". It matches the Rfam family "Bacterial small subunit ribosomal RNA", at positions 524 to 776 of the family's 1533-position model. The record is from RNAcentral.